AACGAACGCUGGCGGCGUGCUUAACACAUGCAAGUCGAGCGGUAAGGCCCUUUCGGGGGUACGACGAGCGGCGAACGGGUGAGUAACACGUGGGUGACCUGCCCUCCAGCUCUGGGAGUAAGCCUGGGAAACCGGGGUACGUAAUACCGGAUAUGACUCCAUGACGCAUGUUGUGGGGUGGAAAGCCUUGCGCGGCUGAGGAUGGGCCCGCCGGCCUAUCAGCUUGUUGGUGGGGUGGAUGGCCUACCAAGGCGACGACGGGUAGCCGG
RNAcentral lists this ribosomal RNA (269 nucleotides) under uncultured bacterium. RNAcentral describes it as "partial 16S ribosomal RNA". It matches the Rfam family "Bacterial small subunit ribosomal RNA", at positions 28 to 290 of the family's 1533-position model. The record is from RNAcentral.